Molecule: transfer RNA, 90 nt
Filed under: Candidatus Peribacteria bacterium
Lineage: Bacteria; Candidatus Peregrinibacteriota; Candidatus Peribacteria
Also listed under: 1 other name
Description: tRNA-Leu
Rfam family: tRNA
About the family: Transfer RNA (tRNA) molecules are approximately 80 nucleotides in length.
Source: RNAcentral
GCCCAGGUGGCGGAACUGGUAGACGCGCUAGCUUGAGGGGCUAGUGGACAUUAUCUGUCCGUGGAAGUUCGAGUCUUCUCCUGGGCACCA